GUUAGUGGCUCCUUGGUCCCUGGCCAUCCCCAGGAGCAGUGGCUUCCUUCUGGCUCCCUCUCUAAUCCCCCCGGGACUGUCUCUUUGCUGUCCUCUCUGCUGCUGACCCCACAGCCGACCCUGUGGCCUGAGACGCUGCCAGGCCCUGACACUGCAGAAGGCCAAGGACUGCAGCUCUGAGUGGAGCCACCAUGAAGAGUUCCUUUCCCCAAACAAUUCUGUGAGCCAAGAAAGUGUCUGUGCAGAUGAAGUGUGCAGUCUUGCACGAGGAGCCCCAGCCGGGCCUUGCAUGCUGGCUGAGCCCCUGGCGCUGUGCCCAGAGUGCGGAGGGCUGAGGCGUCCUCACAGUCUGCACGGAGCACCUGAUCUUUCUCCAGACUGUGGUCAGCAGCAAGUGCUGGCUUAGCAACAGAUCGAAAUAGGAAGUCCCAACCCUUGGGGUUGAUCUAGGACAUUGCCCCGAGCUCCUUCCCUCCUGGAGAAGGUGGGACUCUUCCGGCCACAGGAGCAGGCUGGUGGCAGGUGGAAGCUGUCCGACUCAGCUCUCUCCUGCGUGAUUCUUUUCCUCUCCCAUGCAACCUGAAAUCAGGAAUGCAUGGGAUGGAAUGAGAGGAGCUGCAGGUGGUACCAGCCCAGAUUGCUGAGUCACUACAUCAAAGGAGGAACCUGGGCAUUGCUCAACUUGAGUUAGUACAGAAGCACCAGUAAAAGACACGAAGAACCAGAAAUGGGAAUCAAAAUGCAAAGCCAGAAAAUCAGAGGCCUUCUACAACCUAUCAGGUGGAAUAGGUCAUGGUCCAGUUUUUGGAUUCUACAACACCAACUAGGCAUCCUAUAUUUCCAUCCAAUUUUGACACUCAUUCCCCAGAGUCAGCAUCAGUUCCAACAGAUUGAAGGGCUCAAUCCCACCAGACUGCCACCACUUCAGAUGCCAGUCACAAGUCCUGGACCACUUGUACUUCUGAGCAACGGGCGAUAAAUCAGGGAGUCCCAUGACUUCUCUUCAGGUUCGAUAAUUUGCUGGAACAACUCUCAGGACUCAGGAAAGUGCUUUUCUUAAUGUUACUGGUUUAUCAUAAGAAUACAACUCAGAAAUAGCUGAAUUGAAGAGAUACAGAGGGCAAAGUAUGGGGGAAGGGGCACAGAGCUUCUGUGCCCUCUCUGGGUCCAUCGCCCUCCCAGCACCUUGAUAUGCUCACUGACCUGGAAACUUCCUGAGCCCCUUUAUUUAGGGGCUUUUAUGGAGGUGCCAUUACACAGCCAUGAAUAAUUAAAUCACCGGCCAGUGGCGACUCACUCAGCCUCCAACCCUUCACCUUUCUCUCCUCCCUGGAGGUCGUGGAGGAGCCUGAAAGCUCCAACUGUCUAAUCACACCUAGGUUGUUCUGGUGACCCCCAUGUCCCAUCCUGAUGCUUACCCAGAGGCCUCUCAAUAGCAUACAGAAGACAACUCUUGUCUCUGUGAAGAUUCCAAGAGCUUGGGGAGUUCUUGGAACCAAGAGGAACUAAGGAUAAAGACCAACUAUUUUUUCGUUAUACCACAAUGAUUGAGACUGGUCUAUGAUUUUUCUCUUUGUGCAAUAACCUAGUCCAGUUUCUUUCUUCUUUUUUUUUUCCUAUAGAGGUUAUAUUGGCCAUAUAAAAAGAGUUGGGAAGGGUACAUGGUUUUUUCUGUUUUCUGGAAGAGUUGGUGCAAGAUUGUUAUUCUUUAAGUAUUUGAAAGAAUUAAUUGAUGAAGCCAUCAAGUUGUCAAAUAAUAGAUCCAAUUUAUUUAUUGCAUAUUGGAUAUUCUGAUUUUCUUUUCUUUUUCUAGUCCAUUUUGGAAAGCUGCAUUUCUCAAGGAAUUUGUCCAUUUCAUUCAAACUGCCAAAACAAACAAACAAUAAAGUUUUUAUUUUUUGGUGCUGGG
Ictidomys tridecemlineatus (thirteen-lined ground squirrel) is the source of this 1909-nucleotide long non-coding RNA. RefSeq lists it as uncharacterized. The record is from RefSeq and is a predicted model, not a curated record. NCBI's taxonomy places the organism in Eukaryota, Metazoa, Chordata, Mammalia, Rodentia, Sciuridae.